CCUACGGGAGGCAGCAGUAAGGAAUAUUGGUCAAUGGACGAAAGUCUGAACCAGCCAUGCCGCGUGAAGGAUGAAGGCCCUCUGGGUUGUAAACUUCUUUUAUCUGGGACGAAAAAAGCUCAUUCUUGAGCACUUGACGGUACCAGAGGAAUAAGCACCGGCUAACUCCGUGCCAGCAGCCGCGGUAAUACGGAGGGUGCAAGCGUUAUCCGGAUUCACUGGGUUUAAAGGGUGCGUAGGUGGGUCUGUAAGUCAGUGGUGAAAUCUCCGAGCUUAACUCGGAAACUGCCAUUGAUACUAUAGGUCUUGAAUCAUCUGGAGGUAAGCGGAAUAUGUCAUGUAGCGGUGAAAUGCUUAGAUAUGACAUAGAACACCAAUUGCGAAGGCAGCUUACUACGGGUGUAUUGACACUGAGGCACGAAAAGCGUGGGGAUCAAACAGGAUUAGAUACCCUGGUAGUCCACGCCCUAAACGAUGGAUACUCGACAUCAGCGAUACACUGUUGGUGUCUGAGCGAAAAGCAUUAAGUAUCCCACCUGGGAAGUACGACCGCAAGGUUGAAACUUAAAGAGUAGUACGACGNGAGAGAGACGACGACGACGACGAGGAGGGAGGAGG
Molecule: ribosomal RNA, 618 nt
Filed under: uncultured bacterium
Lineage: Bacteria
Description: bacterial SSU rRNA
Rfam family: Bacterial small subunit ribosomal RNA
Source: RNAcentral